Molecule: ribosomal RNA, 1416 nt
Filed under: uncultured Bordetella sp.
Lineage: Bacteria; Pseudomonadati; Pseudomonadota; Betaproteobacteria; Burkholderiales; Alcaligenaceae
Description: partial 16S-23S ribosomal RNA intergenic spacer
Rfam family: Bacterial small subunit ribosomal RNA
Source: RNAcentral
AGUCGAACGGCAGCACGGACUUCGGUCUGGUGGCGAGUGGCGAACGGUGAGUAAUGUAUCCCGGAACGUGCCUAGUAGCGGGGGAUAACCAAAGCGUAGCUAAUACCGCAUACGCCCUUCGGGGAAAAGCGGGGGACCUUCGGGCCUCGCACUAUUAAACGCCGAUAUCGGAUUAGCUAGUUGGUGGGGUAACGACAAGGCGACGAUCCGUAGCUGGUUUGAGGAAGGACCAGCCGCACUGGGACUGAACGGCUGAACUCUACAGGAGAGGCAGUGGGGAAUUUUGGACAAUGGGGGAAACCCUGAUCAGCCAUCCGCGUGUGCGAUGAAGACGCUUCGGGUAUUUGUAAAGCACUUUUUGGCGGAAAGAAACGGCACGGGAUAAUACCCAUUGGCAAAACAAGGCCUGCAGAUAAGCACCGGCUAACUGCAUAUGUUCCAGCAGCCGCCGGUAUGUAAGUCCGCGGCAUUAAUCGGAAUUACUGGGCGUAAAGCGUGCGCAGGCGGUUCGGAAGAAAGAUGUGAAAUCCAGAGCUUAACUGGAACUGCAUUUUUAACUAUGACUGAGUGUGUCAGAGGGAGGUGGAAUUCACGUGUAGCAGUGAAAUGCCAUGCGAUAUGCGGAGAGGCCCGCGAUGGCGAAGGCAGCCUCCUGGGAUAACACCCAGGCUCUAUUUUUGAAACGUGAGAACCGUAGGAUUAGAUACCCUGGUAGUCCACGCCUAACGGUAUCAACUAUUUGUUGGGACUGAACCUUGGUAGCGCAACUGGCGUGAAGUUGACCGCCUGGGAAGUACGGUCGCAAGAUUAAGAACUCGAGGAAUUGACGGGGACCCGCACAAGCGGUGGAUGAUGUGGAUUGAAUUCCAGUGCGCGAAAACCUUACCUACCCUUGACAUGUCUGGAAUCCCGAAGAGAUUUGGGAGUGCUCGCAAGAGAACCGGAACUGAGGUGCAUGGCUGUCGUCAGCUCGUGUCGUGAGAUGUUGGGUUAAGUCCCGCAACGAGCGCAACCUUAUCGUGGAUUGCUGCGAGGGCAUCUCAAUGAGACUGCCGGUGAUAUUGUGGCGGAGGAAGGUGGGGAUGACGUCAAGUCGUGGCUAUAUGGGUAGGGCUUCACACGUCAUACAAUGGUCGGGACAGAGGGUCGCCAACCCGCGAGGGGAACAAUCCCAGAAACCCGAUCGUAGUCCGGAUCGCAGUCUGCAACUCGACUGCGUGAAGUCGAGACCGCUAGUAAUCGCGGAUCCAGCAUGUCGCGGUGAAUACGUUCCCGGGUCUUAUGUACACACCGCCCGUCACACCGGGGGCAGUUUUACCGGAAGUAGUUAGCCUAACCGUAAGGAGGGCGGUUACCACGGUAGGAUUCAUGACUGGGGUGAAGUCGUAACAAGGUAACCCUGUUACCAGGUAUCAG